AUUGAACGCUGGCGGCAGGCUUAACACAUGCAAGUCGAACGAGUGGCGGACGGGUGAGUAAUGCUUGGGAAUCUGGCUUAUGGAGGGGGAUAACUACGGGAAACUGUCGCUAAUACCGCAUACCAUAGGAUGAGCCCAAGUGGGAUUAGGUAGUUGGUGGGGUAAUGGCCCACCAAGCCGACGAUCUCUAGCUGGUCUGAGAGGAUGACCAGCCACACUGGAACUGAGACACGGCCCAGACUCCUACGGGAGGCAGCAGUGGGGAAUAUUGCGCAAUGGGCGCAAGCCUGAGGCAGCCAUGCCGCGUGAAUGAAGAAGGCCUUCGGGUUGUAAAGUUCUUUCGGUGACGAGGCGUUACCCACAGAAGAAGCACCGGCUAACUCCGUGCCAGCAGCCGCGGUAAUAC
RNAcentral lists this ribosomal RNA (406 nucleotides) under uncultured bacterium. Its description in RNAcentral is "partial 16S ribosomal RNA". It matches the Rfam family "Bacterial small subunit ribosomal RNA", at positions 30 to 526 of the family's 1533-position model. The record is from RNAcentral.